GAUGAACGCUGGCGGCGUGCUUAACACAUGCAAGUCGAACGAAGCAUUUGCGACAGUUUUUUUCGGAAUGAAGUUGCUUAUGACUGAGUGGCGGACGGGUGAGUAACGCGUGGGUAACCUGCCUUGUACUGGGGGAUAGCAGCUGGGGACGGCUGGUAAUACCGCAUAAUCGCACAAUGUUGGAUGACAUGGUGGGGAAAGCUCCGGUGGUAUAAGAUGGAGCCGGGUCUGAUUAGCCAGUUGGUGAGGUAACAGCCAACCAAGGCGACGAUCAGUAGCCGAGCUGGGAGCGUGACCGGCCACAUUGGGACUGAGACACGGACCAGAAUCCUACGGGAGGCAGGAGUAGAGAAUAUUGCACAAUGGAGGAAAAUCUGAUGCAGCGACGCCGGGGGAGUGAGGCAGCGAUUCGUAAUGUAAAGCUCUCUGAGAAGGGAAGUUAGUGACGGUACCUGGCAAAGAAGCACCGGCUAACUACGUG
Molecule: ribosomal RNA, 481 nt
Filed under: uncultured bacterium
Lineage: Bacteria
Description: partial 16S ribosomal RNA
Rfam family: Bacterial small subunit ribosomal RNA
Source: RNAcentral